GGAUUAAUACCCCAUGGUACUAUUUGAUCGCAUGGUCAGAUGGUUAAAGUUCCAACGNUAAAGGAUGGGCAUGCGUGACAUUAGAUUGUUGGCGGGGUAACGGCCCACCAAGUCUGCGAUGUCUAGGGGUUCUGAGAGGAUGAUCCCCCACACUGGUACUGAGACACGGACCAGACCCCUACGGGAGGCAGCAGUAAGGAAUAUUGGUCAAUGGACGCAAGUCUGAACCAGCCAUGCCGCGUGCAGGAAGACAGCCCUACGGGUUGUAAACUGCUUUUGUACGGGAAAAAACCUCCGGUCGUGCACCGGAGCUGAUGGUACCGUAAGAAUAAGCAUCGGCUAACUCCGUGCCAGCAGCCGCGGUAAUACGGAGGAUGCAAGCGUUAUCCGGAUUCAUUGGGUUUAGAGGGUGCGCAGGCGGAAUGAUAAGUCAGUGGUGAAAUCCUGCAGCUCAACUGUAGAACAGCCAUUGAAACUGCAUUACUUGAGUAAUCUUGAGGUAGGCGGAAUGUGUAGUGUAGCGGUGAAAUGCUUAGAUAUUACACAGAACACCGAUUGCGAAGGCGGCUUACUAAGGAUUUACUGACGCUGAUGCACGAAAGCGUGGGGAUCAAACAGGGUUAGAUACCCUGGUAGUCCACGCCGUAAACGAUGAUAACUCGCUGUUG
This 668-nucleotide ribosomal RNA is filed under the name uncultured bacterium. RNAcentral describes it as "bacterial SSU rRNA". It matches the Rfam family "Bacterial small subunit ribosomal RNA", at positions 160 to 825 of the family's 1533-position model. The record is from RNAcentral.